RNAcentral lists this ribosomal RNA (502 nucleotides) under uncultured bacterium. Its description in RNAcentral is "partial 16S ribosomal RNA". It matches the Rfam family "Bacterial small subunit ribosomal RNA", at positions 30 to 523 of the family's 1533-position model. The record is from RNAcentral.
AUUGAACGCUGGCGGAAUGCUUUACACAUGCAAGUCGAACGGCAGCACGGGUGCUUGCACCUGGUGGCGAGUGGCGAACGGGUGAGUAACAUAUCGGAACGUACCCAGUAAUGGGGGAUAACUAACCGAAAGGUUAGCUAAUACCGCAUAAGCCCUGAGGGGGAACGCGGGGGAUCGCAAGACCUCGCGUUAUUGGGGCGGCGGAUAUCUGAUUAGCUAGUUGGUGAGGUAAAGGCUCACCAAGGCGGCGAUCAGUAGCAGGUCUGAGAGGAUGAUCUGCCACACUGGAACUGAGGCACGGUCCAGACUCCUACGGGAGGCAGCAGUGGGGAAUUUUGGACAAUGGGGGAAACCCUGAUCCAGCCAUUCCGCGUGAGUGAAGAAGGCCUUCGGGUUGUAAAGCUCUUUCGGCAGGGAAGAAACGGUUCUGGAUAAUACCCGGAGCUAAUGACGGUACCUGAAGAAGAAGCACCGGCUAACUACGUGCCAGCCGCCGCAGUAA